AGCACUCUGGAGAAUCUCUUUAAUGAGUGCCGAAGGUGCAAAGCGGAUUUUAAAUCCGAUAAUCUCUCAGGCAAAAGGACAGAGGC
This 86-nucleotide non-coding RNA is filed under the name human gut metagenome. RNAcentral describes it as "Glycine riboswitch". It matches the Rfam family "Glycine riboswitch aptamer", at positions 9 to 86 of the family's 94-position model. From Rfam's summary of the family: This family represents the bacterial glycine riboswitch. Glycine riboswitches usually consist of two metabolite-binding aptamers domains with similar structures in tandem. The record is from RNAcentral.